GCGGAUGUGGCGGAAUGGCAGACGCGCUAGUUUCAGGUACUAGUACCCGCAAGGGUGUGGGGGUUCAACUCCCCCCAUCCGCACCA
This 86-nucleotide transfer RNA is filed under the name Candidatus Goldiibacteriota bacterium HGW-Goldbacteria-1. Its description in RNAcentral is "Candidatus Goldbacteria bacterium HGW-Goldbacteria-1 tRNA-Leu". It matches the Rfam family "tRNA". Rfam says of the family: Transfer RNA (tRNA) molecules are approximately 80 nucleotides in length. Their secondary structure includes four short double-helical elements and three loops (D, anti-codon, and T loops). Further hydrogen bonds mediate the characteristic L-shaped molecular structure. tRNAs have two regions of fundamental functional importance: the anti-codon, which is responsible for specific mRNA codon recognition, and the 3' end, to which the tRNAs corresponding amino acid is attached (by aminoacyl-tRNA synthetases). tRNAs cope with the degeneracy of the genetic code in two manners: having more than one tRNA (with a specific anti-codon) for a particular amino acid; and 'wobble' base-pairing, i.e. permitting non-standard base-pairing at the 3rd anti-codon position. RNAcentral also lists the same sequence under 1 other name. The record is from RNAcentral. Lineage: Bacteria; Candidatus Goldiibacteriota.